This is a long non-coding RNA of Sebastes umbrosus (honeycomb rockfish), 647 nucleotides long. RefSeq lists it as uncharacterized. The record is from RefSeq and is a predicted model, not a curated record. The transcript is spliced from 3 exons. Lineage: Eukaryota; Metazoa; Chordata; Actinopteri; Perciformes; Sebastidae.
AUGUAUACAAUACAACUGUUCAGUGUAAAUGACUCCUAAAUGUGUAUUAAGGUCUGUUUAUAAGGUAAUUACUUUCUGCAAGCUUUUAUUUUGAAAGUCGCCUUUUUACAUUACGUGACUUUUAUUUUGACGGCACCUCCUGGCGGAAGAAGGAUAGUGCUACGGAGAUUUACUGAAGGAGGGAAAGCACGCAAUUGCGCUGCUUUAUGUCAUCAUAAACUGAUAAUUAAGCGCCUAGCCAGUACGGGAACAAGGUAUUGUGUGUUGAAUAUGUUUUAUGAUUAUAUGCAGUAACAUUAUGUGAUUUAGAUGAACGCACUUACAGUGUGUGUGUUUAAUUGUGUUGUCAUUCUGACGGUCUUGCUAACAUUAGCUUUUCAUGGAGAUUGCUGUAAUGCUAGCUUUCUAGCUUUUCAUGUGCAAAUGUUGGGCUUAAGGUUUGAUUGGUGUUAAUGUGUAUGGCAAAUACAGUAUAUGGAUAAGGUUUGUAAUGUUUACAUUUUUAGUAAGAGCUCAUUGUAUUUUAUUUGUCUGUCCUUUAGCUCUUACGGUGUUUUCUGAAGAAAGGUGUUUAAAGAAGAAAAGGUGAAUUUGUGUUCAAAAUAUGGCUAACGGCUGAACAUAAAUAAAAGGCUUCUGAAACAUCA